GACGAACGCUGGCGGCGUGCCUAAUACGUGCAAGUCGAGCGAAGUUUUUCUGGUGCUUGCACUAGAAAAACUUAGCGGCGAACGGGUGAGUAACACGUAAAGAACCUGCCUCAUAGACUGGGACAACUAUUGGAAACGAUAGCUAAUACCGGAUAACAGUAUUUCUCGCAUGAGAGAUAUUUAAAAGUUGGUUAUGCUAACACUAUGAGAUGGCUUUGCGGUGCAUUAGCUAGUUGGUGGGGUAAAGGCCCACCAAGGCGACGAUGCAUAGCCGACCUGAGAGGGAGAUCGGCCACACUGGGACUGAGACGCGGCCCAGACUCCUACGGGAGGCAGCAGUAGGGAAUCUUCCGCAAUGGGCGAAAGCCUGACGGAGCAACGCCGCGUGAGUGAAGAAGGAUUUCGGUUCGUAAAGCUCUGUUGUUAGGGAAGAAUGGAUAUGUAGUAACGAUACAUGUAAGAGACGGUACCUAACCAGAAAGCCACGGCUAACUACGUG
Molecule: ribosomal RNA, 499 nt
Filed under: uncultured bacterium
Lineage: Bacteria
Description: partial 16S ribosomal RNA
Rfam family: Bacterial small subunit ribosomal RNA
Source: RNAcentral